GCCAUUUGACCUAGCAAUUCCAGCCCUAAGAAUUUGUCUAGAAGAAAUGAAAGCAUGUGUUCCAAAAAGACGUGUACAUAAAUGUUCUCAGCAGCCUCAUUCACUAUAGGCAGCAACUGGAAACAACCCAAGUGUCCGUCAGCUAGAGAAUGGAUAGACCCAUAUGGUCUGUGCAUACAGUGGAGUACUGCUCAGUUACACAAGGAAAAGAAACUAUGGAUACAGGUCACAGGAGGGAUGAACUUCAAAACAUUACAAGUUUCAACCCUGUCACCCAGGCUGGAGUGCAAUGGCGCGAUCUCAGCUCACUGUGCAACCUCCACCUCCUGGAUUCAAGCGACUCUCCUGCCUCAGCUUCCAGAGUAGCUAGGAUGACAGGUGCCUGCCACCACGCCGAGCUAAUGUUUUGUAUUUUUGGUAGAGAUGGGGUUUCACCAUGUUAGCCAGGCUGGUCUCGAACUCCUGAUCUCGGGUGAUCCUCCCCCAUCAGCCUCCCAAAGUGCUAGGAUUACAGGCGUGAGCCACCGUGCCCGGCCGUGCCAGGGUUUUCUAUUGAGUUUCUUGCCAAGGGUGACUUCCAAUAACAAUCCCCCCCUGCACUUUGCUUAGUUCUGGAAAGCUCAGGCCGCACAGGGUGAAUAAAAGCCUGAGUAGUGCAGUCCCCAUGGAGGGGCAGGGGUGCCACAAGGUGGGCAGCAGCUGGGAUGGGCAUUGUGAGGCACUGGGGGGGCUGUGGGGCUGGACAUGGUGAGUCACUAGCCUGACCUGUUUCCUGGUAACCAGGUGACAUAGGAAGCUUUGUGGGUUAUAGGCAUUAGCCAGGCCAGCAGCCCUCAGUCGGUAGCUGGCAGUGGAGGGAGGAGGAGCUCCGACUGUGCUCUUUGACGGCAGUUUUUGUGCCUCUUGGCGCUUGUCGUGUUUCUUUUUGAGUCAGCUCCGACUGUGGCUGGCCCAGGGGGAAGGCAGCAUCCAGUUAUGAAUCUGAUAUUUAUGAGGCCGUGGCUGCUGCAACAUCAGAAUCCACUACCGUAGAGCCUGGCAAGCUGGAUGUGGGAGCCACGGAGGGCCAAGACCUGCAGCACAUCAGCAACCAAAAGAUGCCCACAGCUUCUGUUCUGGACCUGGAAGAUAUUGCGCUUGAUAUUGCGGAGGAGGUGUUAUCUGAAAUGGUCCCCCUGAGGACCGCCUGAGUUUAAAACUUCUACCACCAAGUGAGGAAGACAAUGAUGACACCAAGAUUUUACCAUCACCUAUCCAGGCUUCUCUUGAGGACAACCUGACUUUAGUAUGCCUACCACCAAGUGAAGAUGAUUGUGAUGAUGACAAUGAUGAUGAUGAUGCCCAGAAUAUCACAGAAAUGCAAACGUAAAGGAUGUUGUGUCUGAAAUUGGUGGGUUCUUGGUCUCACUGACUUCAAGAAUGAAGCCGCGGACCUCUGUGAGUCCUCCUGGCUGUCAGGAGGGCUUUCCCCUUCAGAUACAUUCAUUGCCAGAGGAGCUAUCCAAAGUGCCUU
RNAcentral lists this long non-coding RNA (1513 nucleotides) under Homo sapiens (human). RNAcentral describes it as "HSALNT0405225". Lineage: Eukaryota; Metazoa; Chordata; Mammalia; Primates; Hominidae. The record is from RNAcentral.